GAUGAACGCUGGCGGCGUGCCUAAUACAUGCAAGUCGAGCGAACGGACGAGAAGCUUGCUUUUCUGAUGUUAGCGGCGGACGGGUGAGUAACACGUGGAUAACCUACCUAUAAGACUGGGAUAACUUCGGGAAACCGGAGCUAAUACCGGAUAAUAUUUUGAACCGCAUGGUUCAAUAGUGAAAGACGGUCUUGCUGUCACUUAUAGAUGGAUCCGCGCUGCAUUAGCUAGUUGGUAAGGUAACGGCUUACCAAGGCAACGAUGCAUAGCCGACCUGAGAGGGUGAUCGGCCACACUGGAACUGAGACACGGUCCAGACUCCUACGGGAGGCAGCAGUAGGGAAUCUUCCGCAAUGGGCGAAAGCCUGACGGAGCAACGCCGCGUGAGUGAUGAAGGUCUUCGGAUCGUAAAACUCUGUUAUUAGGGAAGAACAUAUGUGUAAGUAACUAUGCACGUCUUGACGGUACCUAAUCAGAAAGCCACGGCUAACUACGUG
This 497-nucleotide ribosomal RNA is filed under the name uncultured bacterium. RNAcentral's name for it is "partial 16S ribosomal RNA". It matches the Rfam family "Bacterial small subunit ribosomal RNA", at positions 28 to 507 of the family's 1533-position model. The record is from RNAcentral.